Molecule: ribosomal RNA, 483 nt
Filed under: uncultured bacterium
Lineage: Bacteria
Description: bacterial SSU rRNA
Rfam family: Bacterial small subunit ribosomal RNA
Source: RNAcentral
AAUGAACGUUGGCGGCGUGGAUUAGGCAUGCAAGUCGCGCGAGAAACUAAUUAGCUUGCUAAGAAGUGGACAGUGGCGCAAGGGAGAGUAACGCGUGGUUACUUGCCCUCGAGACCGGGAUAGUGUUGGGAAACUGGCAGUAAUACCGGAUAACAUCUUCGGAUCAAAUGGUGUGAAUAAAAUCGAGGAUAGGACCGCGUACUAUUAGCUUGUUGGUGAGGUAACGGCUCACCAAGGCUGCGAUGGUUACCGGGUGUGAGAGCAUGGCCCGGCUCACUGGGACUGAGACACUGCCCAGACACCUACGGGUGGCUGCAGUCGAGAAUCUUCGGCAAUGGGCGAAAGUCUGACCGAGCGACGCCGCGUGCGGGAUGAAGGCCCUCGGGUUGUAAACCGCUGUCAGUAGUUAGGAAAUCUAUGAGGGUUAUCUCUCAUGGUUGACCGAUCUUCAGAGGAAGGACGGGCUAAGUUCGUGCCAGCAGG